Caenorhabditis tropicalis is the source of this 80-nucleotide non-coding RNA. The record is from Rfam. Lineage: Eukaryota; Metazoa; Nematoda; Chromadorea; Rhabditida; Rhabditidae.
CGGCAAUGAUGAAGAAUUUUGUUGAUAUGGUGUCAGGACCUCUGAGAGUUCCGUGACUGAGGUUUAGAGUUCCUGAGUCG